This 443-nucleotide ribosomal RNA is filed under the name uncultured bacterium. Its description in RNAcentral is "partial 16S ribosomal RNA". It matches the Rfam family "Bacterial small subunit ribosomal RNA", at positions 338 to 795 of the family's 1533-position model. The record is from RNAcentral.
CCUACGGGAGGCAGCAGUGGGGAAUAUUGGGCAAUGGGCGCAAGCCUGACCCAGCAACGCCGCGUGAAGGAAGAAGGCUUUCGGGUUGUAAACUUCUUUUCUCAGGGACGAAGCAAGUGACGGUACCUGAGGAAUAAGCCACGGCUAACUACGUGCCAGCAGCCGCGGUAAUACGUAGGUGGCAAGCGUUAUCCGGAUUUACUGGGUGUAAAGGGGGUGUAGGCGGGAAAGCAAGUCAGAUGUGAAAACCAUGGGCUCAACCUGUGGCCUGCAUUUGAAACUGUUUUUCUUGAGUACUGGAGAGGCAGACGGAAUGCCUAGUGUAGCGGUGAAAUGCGUAGAUAUUAGGAGGAACACCAGUGGCGAAGGCGGUCUGCUGGACAGCAACUGACGCUGAGGCGCGAAAGCGUGGGGAGCAAACAGGAUUAGAUACCCCAGUAGUC